This 903-nucleotide ribosomal RNA is filed under the name uncultured Klebsiella sp. Its description in RNAcentral is "bacterial SSU rRNA". It matches the Rfam family "Bacterial small subunit ribosomal RNA", at positions 52 to 951 of the family's 1533-position model. Lineage: Bacteria; Pseudomonadati; Pseudomonadota; Gammaproteobacteria; Enterobacterales; Enterobacteriaceae. The record is from RNAcentral.
UACCAUGCAGUCGAGCGGUAGCACAGAGAGCUUGCUCUCGGGUGACGAGCGGCGGACGGGUGAGUAAUGUCUGGGAAACUGCCUGAUGGAGGGGGAUAACUACUGGAAACGGUAGCUAAUACCGCAUAACGUCGCAAGACCAAAGAGGGGGACCUUCGGGCCUCUUGCCAUCAGAUGUGCCCAGAUGGGAUUAGCUAGUAGGUGGGGUAACGGCUCACCUAGGCGACGAUCCCUAGCUGGUCUGAGAGGAUGACCAGCCACACUGGAACUGAGACACGGUCCAGACUCCUACGGGAGGCAGCAGUGGGGAAUAUUGCACAAUGGGCGCAAGCCUGAUGCAGCCAUGCCGCGUGUAUGAAGAAGGCCUUCGGGUUGUAAAGUACUUUCAGCGGGGAGGAAGGCGAUAAGGUUAAUAACCUUGUCGAUUGACGUUACCCGCAGAAGAAGCACCGGCUAACUCCGUGCCAGCAGCCGCGGUAAUACGGAGGGUGCAAGCGUUAAUCGGAAUUACUGGGCGUAAAGCGCACGCAGGCGGUCUGUCAAGUCGGAUGUGAAAUCCCCGGGCUCAACCUGGGAACUGCAUUCGAAACUGGCAGGCUAGAGUCUUGUAGAGGGGGGUAGAAUUCCACGUGUAGCGGUGAAAUGCGUAGAGAUCUGGAGGAAUACCGGUGGCGAGGCGGCCCCCUGGACAAAGACUGACGCUCAGUGCGAAAGCGUGGGAGCAAACAGGAUUAGAUACCCUGGUAGUCCACGCCGUAAACGAUGUCGAUUUGGAGGUUGUGCCCUUGAGGCGUGGCUUCCGGAGCUAACGCGUUAAAUCGACCGCCUGGGGGAGUACGGCCGCAAGGUUAAACUCAAUGAAUUGACUGGGGCCCGCACAAGCGUGAAGCAUGUGGUUUAAUU